RNAcentral lists this ribosomal RNA (376 nucleotides) under uncultured bacterium. RNAcentral describes it as "bacterial SSU rRNA". It matches the Rfam family "Bacterial small subunit ribosomal RNA", at positions 523 to 898 of the family's 1533-position model. The record is from RNAcentral.
AUACGUAGGGCGCGAGCGUUGUCCGGAUUUACUGGGUGUAAAGGGUGCGUAGGCGGCUCUGCAAGUCAGGUGUGAAAACCAUCGGCUUAACUGAUGGACUGCAUUUGAAACUGUGGGGCUUGAGUGGAGUAGAGGCAGACGGAAUUCCCGGUGUAGCGGUGAAGUGCGUAGAGAUCGGGAAGAACACCAGUGGCGAAGACGGUUUGCUGGGCUCUAACUGACGCUGAGGCACGAAAGCAUGGGUAGCAAACAGGAUUAGAUACCCUGGUAGUCCAUGCCAUAAACGAUGAUUACUAGGUGUGGGGAGUCUGACCCUCUCCGUGCCGGAGUUAACACAAUAAGUAAUCCACCUGGGAAGUACGACCGCAAGGUUGAA